This is a non-coding RNA of Lactarius deliciosus, 72 nucleotides long. The record is from the annotation of a GenBank genome assembly. NCBI's taxonomy places the organism in Eukaryota, Fungi, Basidiomycota, Agaricomycetes, Russulales, Russulaceae.
GGCGAGCUGGCGCAAUGGUAGCGUGCUAGUUUCCGGCGCUAGCGGUUCUGGGUUCGAGUCCCAGGCUCGUCG